RNAcentral lists this ribosomal RNA (919 nucleotides) under Kalmusia sp. RNAcentral describes it as "partial large subunit ribosomal RNA". It matches the Rfam family "Eukaryotic large subunit ribosomal RNA", at positions 36 to 968 of the family's 3401-position model. The record is from RNAcentral. Lineage: Eukaryota; Fungi; Ascomycota; Dothideomycetes; Pleosporales; Didymosphaeriaceae.
UAGCAUAUCAAUAAGCGGAGGAAAAGAAACCAACAGGGAUUGCCCUAGUAACGGCGAGUGAAGCGGCAACAGCUCAAAUUUGAAAUCUGGCGUCUUUGGCGUCCGAGUUGUAAUUUGCAGAGGGCGCUUUGGCAUUGGCAGCGGUCCCAAGUUCCUUUGGAACAGGACGUCACAGAGGGUGAGAAUCCCGUACGUGGUCGCUAGCCUUUACCGUGUAAAGCCCCUUUCGACGAGUCGAGUUGUUUGGGAAUGCAGCUCUAAAUGGGAGGUAAAUUUCUUCUAAAGCUAAAUACUGGCCAGAGACCGAUAGCGCACAAGUAGAGUGAUCGAAAGAUGAAAAGCACUUUGGAAAGAGAGUUAAAAAGCACGUGAAAUGGUUGAAAGGGAAGCGCUUGCAGCCAGACUUGCCUGUAGUUGCUCAUCCAGGUUUCUACCUGGUGCACUCUUCUAUAGGCAGGCCAGCAUCAGUUUGGGCGGUUGGAUAAAGGUCUCUGUCAUGUACCUCUCUUCGGGGAGAACUUAUAGGGGAGACGACAUGCAACCAGCCUGGACUGAGGUCCGCGCAUCUGCUAGGAUGCUGGCGUAAUGGCUGUAAGCGGCCCGUCUUGAAACACGGACCAAGGAGUCUAACAUCUAUGCGAGUGUUUGGGUGUCAAGCCCGAGCGCGUAAUGAAAGUGAACGGAGGUGGGAACCUUUCGGGGUGCACCAUCGACCGAUCCUGAUGUCUUCGGAUGGAUUUGAGUAAGAGCAUAGCUGUUGGGACCCGAAAGAUGGUGAACUAUGCUUGAAUAGGGUGAAGCCAGAGGAAACUCUGGUGGAGGCUCGCAGCGGUUCUGACGUGCAAAUCGAUCGUCAAAUUUGGGGCAUAGGGGCGAAAGACUAAUCGAACUAUCUAGUAGCUGGGUUCCUGCCGAUCUC